AUACGAAAGGUGCAAGCGCUGUUCGGAUUUACUGGGCGUAAAGAGAGUGUAGGUUGUUUAUUAAGUCGGAUGUGAAAUCCCGGGGCUCAACCUCGGAACUGCAUUCGAUACUGGUAGACUAGAGUUCGGGAGGGGUAAGCGGAAUUCCGUGUGUAGCAGUGAAAUGCGUAGAUAUACGGAGGAACACCUGAGGCGAAGGCGGCUUACUGGACCGAUUCUGACACUGAGACUCGAAAGCGUGGGUAGCAAACAGGAUUAGAUACCCCGGUAGUCC
This 274-nucleotide ribosomal RNA is filed under the name uncultured bacterium. RNAcentral's name for it is "partial 16S ribosomal RNA". It matches the Rfam family "Bacterial small subunit ribosomal RNA", at positions 523 to 796 of the family's 1533-position model. The record is from RNAcentral.